RNAcentral lists this ribosomal RNA (497 nucleotides) under uncultured bacterium. RNAcentral describes it as "partial 16S ribosomal RNA". It matches the Rfam family "Bacterial small subunit ribosomal RNA", at positions 28 to 507 of the family's 1533-position model. The record is from RNAcentral.
GAUGAACGCUGGCGGCGUGCCUAAUACAUGCAAGUCGAGCGAACGGACGAGAAGCUUGCUUCUCUGAUGUUAGCGGCGGACGGGUGAGUAACACGUGGAUAACCUACCUAUAAGACUGGGAUAACUUCGGGAAACCGGAGCUAACACCGGAUAAUAUUUUGAACCGCAUGGUUCAACAGUGAAAGACGGUCUUGCUGUCACUUAUAGAUGGAUCCGCGCUGCAUUAGCUAGUUGGUAAGGUAACGGCUUACCAAGGCAACGAUGCAUAGCCGACCUGAGAGGGUGAUCGGCCACACUGGAACUGAGACACGGUCCAGACUCCUACGGGAGGCAGCAGUAGGGAAUCUUCCGCAAUGGGCGAAAGCCUGACGGAGCAACGCCGCGUGAGUGAUGAAGGUCUUCGGAUCGUAAAACUCUGUUAUUAGGGAAGAACAUAUGUGUAAGUAACUGUGCACAUCUUGACGGUACCUAAUCAGAAAGCCACGGCUAACUACGUG